Long non-coding RNA from Heterocephalus glaber (naked mole-rat), 2419 nucleotides. The record is from Ensembl. NCBI's taxonomy places the organism in Eukaryota, Metazoa, Chordata, Mammalia, Rodentia, Bathyergidae.
GACCAAAGAAAUAGCUAUAAACAGCAAGUAAAGACCUGUAACUGUCAUCAGUAGUGGAGUACUUGAUAGGAAAGUCACUCUUGCUCCUGGUACAAAAUAUGAGGUGUGAUUAAAAAAUGUGGUGUGUGUCCAGACUUAAAAAAUCAUUACAGCAAAAAACACAUUGCCAUUAAUCCCCUCUCAAAAUACUCCGCUUUGCUUCCAACACAUGUACCCUAUCAUUCUUGCCAUUUCUGAAGCAGUUCUGGAAUUUCUCUUUCAUUAGUGUCUUGAAUCAAUUGAAAACAUUUACCUUUCCUUGUAAUUAUGACUGGACAAUAGCCAGAAGUGGCACUUUGCCAGAUCUGGUGAAUAAGGCAGAUGAGAAGACACCCUAAUGUUUUUACCAGCCUGCCUUUCUGUUAGAUGCACCACUUGCUUUAUUUUUUAUCACACCUCAUAAAGACACAAAAAACUUCCAGAACUAUUUUAGAAAGUGACAAGAACAAUGGGGUAAGUGUUCAAGAUGAGCAUUUUGAGAGGAAUAAUGGUAAUGUGUCUUUUACUAUAAAACAGUUUUUACAAUUUCAACAUUCACUAUGUAAUUGGCAGGAAAACCCUGAAGGUGUGUCUUAGGGAAAGAAUUGAUGUAAAGUUUAGAUUGAGCAGCAAGUAGAUUCUCUGGUGUGGAGCAACAGCAAAGAGGACUUCUUGAAGAGCUGACUGCUCACUUCCAGCCAGAGGGAGGGUUCCAUGUACCUAGAAAGGGCCUCCCUCUACCACUGCCGUCACCACACUGCCUUGCCAUGAGUACACUUGUGUGAACUUUGCAGAGGAUGAAGGCCAGCCACGAUCAGCUCUGGAGAGCAUCAGAUGGUCCCAAGUCCUUAGAAACCACACCAGUGUGCCCCUCAGACUCCCCAGGUGGGGUCCAAGAGGUGACAAUGCAGAUCUUACAGACCCUUUGCUCCUUUCAAUUACUGGCUCCUAGGAAAAGAAAUUCCAUUUUUUGAGUGUCUGUGGAUUUUGUGUUCAAAACUGUGAAGCCACCAACCCAGUUCUACUGCCGGCAGUUCCAGAAUGCUGCUAACCACAAGAAAAGAAAGUUCAGGGAGUUGGAGGGGUUUGGUUUAACACCUGGUUAGAGCCAAAAGGGGAUAACUGUGUUUAUUUAUGACCCACAGGAGGGAAAAGGAUAAGAGACAUGACAAAACCAAGGAAUGCAUGGGUUUUUCACCUGUAACCUCCAAAUUAAUCCAAAGUAGAGACCACCAUGAGAGUCUCAGAGCAGCCCAGCUUUCAGAAGCGCAAAUGAAAAAUAAUGAGCCCCCUUGGCAUCCAAGUAAGUACCCAUUGGCUGCUGAACUGUUGCCAAGUUAUUAAAGAACAGAAUUAAGGGUCAGACUUCCAGGGUCCUGGCUUUCAAUACCCAUCGAUCCAGCUGCAAAGCACUGGUGGUGGGUGUUGGAUUGUGUCAGCGUCUCCUCCAGUCCUCCCGUGAGCCUGUGAAAUCCAGGAGGGGCUCACAGUGGUGGCAUUUCAGCAGAUGCUCUAGACCAGUGAUGGCUAUAAACACAUCUGCAGAUAGAGAUUCCAGACCCUGGCAAAAUAUCCUCUACUACUGUGUACAAAAUAAAUUGGGCCUUGGUGGCUAGGGUUCUGCCCCUCUUCCCACAGCUUUAAUCAUUGAUGGCAAACUGAGUGGAUCUAGCUGAAUCCCAAUUUAGCUGGAAUAAUUAAAUACAGCAGUUGUGUCCUCCCCUAUGGUCUGAAUGGACACUUUUUGGAACCCCAUAUGGGCUGGGGCUCAGCAGACAGCAGGCACAACUUGCAGGCCCCUUCUGCACAGGUGUAGACUUCCAGGGAUGGGCAGUCUAUAUCCUUUUAAAUGAAAUAACUGAAAGCUCAAAUAGCACUGCUCAUAAGAAGAGGUGAGCACUCCUGUAACGGCACAGAUGGCAGCAACUCCUCCUUGAUCCUUUGUUCUGUUGCUUGUGAAGUAUCUGAAGGCCAGCAUUUCAUUCUGAUGGCUGUGAGAAGGGGCAGCAUUACAGACUGUCCUGAGGAGGACUCAGCGUAAUUCCAUCUUGAAAAGAACUCUGAAACAAACUUUUCCUCCCUAAUUUAGUAAGUUCUAUCCUUCCAAAGCAGGAGCCUCUUAAGUGGUUUGUCCUAAAUGAAAAAAUGAACUAAGCCUGCCUAUCCUGAUUGUCUACUGUCUUGUUUAAGGAAUACUCCCGGAGUGAUGCUGAUUUUCAAAUGUGGAAUUGUAUUGCUUAACUAUUAUCCAACAAUAUAGUCAUAAAAGGACAGAUUCUGUAAGAAUCUCACUUUCACUUUGCAAAGCACUGCACCUUUAAUUCUGCCUUAUGAGUAUGUCAUAUUAUUAGAUUUGGUCAUCACAUUUGUGUGUUUAUGAACUCACCUUUUAUUAAUAAAA